GUAGGUGAACCUGCGGAAGGAUCAUUAACAAUUUGUGCGUUUGCACACAUUUGCCCGGCCGCAAGGCUAGGAUUGGAGGAGGAGAUGGCGACGUCUCUGCAUCUGGGGUUGGAGUCUGCGUCUUAGGAUGGAGGCUCUGCAUCUAGGAUUGGAAAUGGCAACGUCCCCUCCCCUACAUAGACGAUUGUUUGUAUGACUGUGAGAUGUAAGGACAAAAAACAACUUUUAACAAUGGAUCUCUUGGCUCUUG
This 250-nucleotide unclassified non-coding RNA is filed under the name plant metagenome. RNAcentral's name for it is "partial contains small subunit ribosomal RNA, internal transcribed spacer 1, and 5.8S ribosomal RNA". The record is from RNAcentral.